UCCGGUGGGGGCGGCGGCGGGAGGAAGGGGAGCGGAGGCGGAGGCGCAGCGAGUCAAUGAGGCAUCGCGUGGCAGAGGAGACGGCGGCUGUCGGGCAGGGGCAUCGCGUGGCAGAGGAGGCGGCGGCUGUCGGGCGGGGGCAUCGCGUGGCAGAGGAGACGGCAGCGGCGGCGAGACGAGGGACGCCCGAGCUCCUCGGCCCAGCUCAACAGAAGGUUUUACAGCUCGAGUCAUACUCAGAUAUGCCCAUCAGUUCAGCAACAUCACAUGUUGAUAGCAUUUCAUUUCGUUUGUGCAAUUUGAAUCUGUAUUCAGUUUUUCAUAGAUAAUUUGAGCACACGCCUUGUUUCUGAAUUUCCCCAUGACUUUUGUGCAGUUCAGUGUAGUUCAUCAUGAUUACUUAAUUAAAGUAUACCAACACUCUUCUACCUGGCACGACAAUAGCUUUUUCAGUCUGUCCAACAUCAACCCUGCACCACUGUCAACAAAGACUGCUCCUAAAUUCCACUGCAACAUCCAUAUUUAUAUUUAUUUUGACCAGAAAAAUGUCGUAACAGUUCCUAAAUUCUGUAUAGUUAUUCCGUUGGCAAUUGUUCAGUAUAUUUUGUGCAAGAAUUGGGUGUACAUCUGACAAAUUUCCACUGCAACAGAGUAAUAAGAAGCAGAGAAGCAUUUCAAUCUAUCUGAUACAUCUGUUUUCAUGCUAAGUAGGGUUUAAAUUAUGGUUUUGGAUAAUAAUCAUGAGUUCAUAAUUUUGCAUCAGGACCUAGAAGCACUUUUUCUCAUACAUUGGCAUAUCGUAUCAAUGGAGCAUGGGCGACCCAUGGUGCACAUACAGCUUGCUACCGAAGUACCCAUCAGUGGCACAUAUCAGUGCUUUGUUCUUUGGAGGCAUAUACCCGAGGAUCAGUCUAAGUCAGAAGAGAUGAUACACAGGUACAUAUAUAUGCUCAAUUACCUCUGGCCGCGUACACAUGGAUAAGGCAAGAUGGAAGCUCACACUACCGAUACUAAUGUAAGACCAAAGCCGAUCUAGGAAGGGAUGUUGGGCUCUUGGCGCCCCCGAGUCAUGUCUGAAAAAAUCAGCACUGCAGAUUGUUUGGUAAGCUCCGUGAACUCCAAUAGAUGUCCUCAUUAUUUACUUCACAAACAGCUUAAACUUAUAGAAGAAGCACGCGUUUAUGAAACUUGGAUGGAAGGUGUCAUAGGUAAAAUAAGACGGCAGAUGACUUGAUGCAUUAUGCCAAACCAGUUAUGGAUAUGAAUAGUUCUUUCAUUUAAAGGAUACAGUUCGCUCCAUGUUUCGGCAGACAAAUUCAGAGGAAUAAUAUAUAUGUCGCUGUUGUUUUUUUUGCAGGGAAAAUAUAUCACAGUUGCUAGCAUCUUCUUUUUACGUUAAACUUAAAUAACAUUUUUUUGUGUCCAAAAUAUAUAUUAGAUACUUCCUACUGUAUACUUCAAACUCAGUCGGGAUAGUUCGUAUCUCUUUUCAAGAUGCAUCAUAUAUCACAUGGAGGAUUUUAGAGUUUGUCGAAGUCACACUGAUACGAUCUUUGGUGUUGCUUAAAUUUGCAUCAAUGGUGCGAUAUACAAUCAUAAUUAAAUGCACCUAACAAUACACUGAAUCGUUUAGGGAAUGAUACAUUGAAUCAUACUCCACUUUGCACGUUAUUUUUAUUACUAUCUUUGAUUUUGUAUUGGAAUCAACUGGGCACUACUAAAUGCAACAUACAUGGUUUUAGGUAGUGGACUUGCCAAGUAUACAAGAUUUUCAAUCGCAAUUUUAUGAAUGGAGAAGGUAGUAUUUUUUUGGUAGAAUAUAUAUUUACCCUCAUUAGAGUAUAGUAUGUUACAUAAUAAUUCAGGGCUCUAUGAGAUUCAGUUAUUAGAGAUACAAAUAUUGGUGAAUAUGGCCAUGUUAUCAUGUAUACUAUCUUUUUUUCCUUUGAUAUAUAGUGCGAGUACAGAUCUACCAACCACUCCCAAAAUAUAUAACAACUUAAUAGACUAUUUGUGUAACAUAAUUUAAACCGUACAUAAUAUAUGUUAAUUAUCCAAUCAGGAAUUAAUUGAAAAUGAAUGUAUCAUUUCUGGCACUCCGUAACCAAUAUGCAUGGUUUCAUGUUAUUAGUUCCAAAAAAGUAUUCAAAUUAGUAUUAUAAUUUAUUCUUCCAACCAAUUUAAAAGAAGGUCAGCUUAUAUACAACUACUAAAAUAGGCUAGCCCGUGCAGAUGCACGGGUUGGCGGCUAGUACUUGCUAAUUGAUGUUUUGAGGGGUGCUCAUAUACUUACUCGGCAACAUGGAAAGUUUUCACAUUUGUUCUAGCUGUCUCUAUGGGUUAGCGACUUAGCAUACAUGUUGUAAUAAGGUUUCACAUUUGCUUCUCUCACAAGUAAGGUCUGUUUUUAUUCAUAGGUAGAAGAUAGCGAAAGAGUGCUGCAGGAUAAUGAGAUGUUGAAGCGGCAGACUGAAUCCAUGACACCGAAGUGCAAUUGCGGCAGAUUAUCUCUAUCUUUUCUUUUCAUUUUUCUUAUUAUUGAGUGAGAACAGAAUGAGGAACUGUGUGAUAGUACAUACAACAACUGUAGUAAAAAGAAACUUAUGUUUGCAAUUGUUAAUGACAUAGAUACUUGCAUGUUCUUUCAAGUGGUCAUUUGUGAGUAGCAAUGCAUAAUGAGGUUUUUUGGCUGAUUUAUUUCCUUUGGUUUCCGGUUAACCAUGAAAUAGGAGCCCAGCAGUGCUCACUAUUGUGUUUACUGGGAACUGUAUGCAUAAAACUAUUGUGUUUACUGGGAACUGUAUGCAUAAAAUG
Molecule: long non-coding RNA, 2814 nt
Filed under: Triticum aestivum (bread wheat)
Lineage: Eukaryota; Viridiplantae; Streptophyta; Magnoliopsida; Poales; Poaceae
Description: long non-coding RNA (TAES_LNC015958)
Source: RNAcentral